CCAGACGGCCGGGCGGUCGCGGCGGGGCUUCGGUCCCGUCGAGGAAAGUCCGGGCUCCACGGUGAAAAGGCGGCGGAUAACCUCCGCCCGGGGCGACCCGAGGGAAAGCGCCACAGAAAGCAAACCGCCCUCUUCGGAGGGUAAGGGUGAAAGGGUGGGGUAAGAGCCCACCGCGUUCCUGGCGACAGGGACGGCAUGGCAAGCCCCGCCUGGAGCAAGACCGAAUAGGGGCGUCGCGCGGGCUUCGGUUCGCAGGCUUCACCGGCCCAGACGCCCGGGUAGGUCGCGAGAACCGCUCAGUAAUGGGCGGUCCAGAGGAAUGACCGUCGCCGCCUUCGGGCGGGACAGAACCCGGCUUACAGGCCGUCUGGCAUU
This 375-nucleotide RNase P RNA is filed under the name Peiella sedimenti. RNAcentral's name for it is "RNase P RNA component class A". It matches the Rfam family "Bacterial RNase P class A". From Rfam's summary of the family: Ribonuclease P (RNase P) is a ubiquitous endoribonuclease, found in archaea, bacteria and eukarya as well as chloroplasts and mitochondria. Its best characterised activity is the generation of mature 5'-ends of tRNAs by cleaving the 5'-leader elements of precursor-tRNAs. Cellular RNase Ps are ribonucleoproteins. The record is from RNAcentral. Lineage: Bacteria; Pseudomonadati; Pseudomonadota; Alphaproteobacteria; Caulobacterales; Caulobacteraceae.